This 82-nucleotide transfer RNA is filed under the name Sphingobacteriaceae bacterium. RNAcentral describes it as "tRNA-Val". It matches the Rfam family "tRNA". From Rfam's summary of the family: Transfer RNA (tRNA) molecules are approximately 80 nucleotides in length. Their secondary structure includes four short double-helical elements and three loops (D, anti-codon, and T loops). Further hydrogen bonds mediate the characteristic L-shaped molecular structure. tRNAs have two regions of fundamental functional importance: the anti-codon, which is responsible for specific mRNA codon recognition, and the 3' end, to which the tRNAs corresponding amino acid is attached (by aminoacyl-tRNA synthetases). tRNAs cope with the degeneracy of the genetic code in two manners: having more than one tRNA (with a specific anti-codon) for a particular amino acid; and 'wobble' base-pairing, i.e. permitting non-standard base-pairing at the 3rd anti-codon position. Lineage: Bacteria; Pseudomonadati; Bacteroidota; Sphingobacteriia; Sphingobacteriales; Sphingobacteriaceae. The record is from RNAcentral.
AAAAAGAGCUCAGUUGGUUCGAGCAUCUGCCUUACAAGCAGAGGGUUUCAGCGAUUUUAAAGCUGGAACCCUUUUUUUUGCA